GACGAACGCUGGCGGCGUGCUUAACACAUGCAAGUCGAACGCUGAACCCGCUUCGGUGGGGGAUGAGUGGCGAACGGGUGAGUAACACGUGGGCAACCUGCCCCCGGCUCUGGGAUAACUCCAAGAAAUUGGGGCCAAUACCGGAUGUGACCGCUGGCCGCAUGGUCUGGUGGUGGAAAGGGUUUCCGGCUGGGGAUGGGCCCGCGGCCUAUCAGCUUGUUGGUGGGGUAGUGGCCUACCAAGGCGACGACGGGUAGCCGGCCUGAGAGGGUGACCGGCCACACUGGGACUGAGACACGGCCCAGACUCCUACGGGAGGCAGCAGUGGGGAAUAUUGCGCAAUGGGCGGAAGCCUGACGCAGCGACGCCGCGUGGGGGAUGACGGCCUUCGGGUUGUAAACCUCUUUCAGCAGGGACGAAGCGCAAGUGACGGUACCUGCAGAAGAAGCACCGGCCAACUACGUG
Molecule: ribosomal RNA, 465 nt
Filed under: uncultured bacterium
Lineage: Bacteria
Description: partial 16S ribosomal RNA
Rfam family: Bacterial small subunit ribosomal RNA
Source: RNAcentral